Long non-coding RNA from Equus asinus (donkey), 1632 nucleotides. NCBI's taxonomy places the organism in Eukaryota, Metazoa, Chordata, Mammalia, Perissodactyla, Equidae. The record is from Ensembl.
ACCUGGAGGCUGCAACCCGCCCUGGGCUUUAAGACCUGGCUUCCGGGUGUGAUGUCAGGCUGAUCUGUCCAGCUGUGACAGGCUAAUCCCUCCACUCUGCUGAGAUAGGAGAAUAAUCCCCAAAGAGGUUUCAUACCGGAUGAGUAGCACCAACCCAGGACUGGGCUAGCCAUGUAUAGCUCACAUCUGGCUCCUCCCCCAAGGAAAAUGCUCUGGAUGAGGAUCCCUCCACCUUUAGUUAACUAAGCGAGGGGGAGUUUCAGGAGGAUCCUGACCCCCAGCUGGAUCCUCAGCAAGGGCUGCCUGGCUGGGAUAAGAGAGAUCACCUGCAGGGAGCGCCGGGAGCCUGCUAUUAGCUUCCCUCUCCUGCUUUCAUUGCUUUGCCUUCCUUUCCUCAGCAGAGCGGAACCCCAUAAGCAAUUAACCCUUCACAAGCUGAGUCACCGGACUUUGGAUAAUACAGGAUUAGACCAUUUAGCUGAAGCAGCUCAAGUCUGUAAAUAUGCAUGGGUUUCUGGAGCCUUUGGCAAUGCCUUAUAUGGAUUUCCUGAAUCAUCAGCAGAACACAGAGAGUCUGGCUCUCCCCACCACCCUGCUGCUGGUGUGUAGCUGUAUCAGAGACAUUGCCUGGGAAGACCACGUGGGACCAGCUGUGUCUGAAACUCUGCUGAUUCUCAGGAACAAGGCCCUGAGCUGCACGUCUAGUUUCUCAGCUUGUCCGUUGGGAUGGAGCACCCUGUAGCAGUUAGUCAACCUGUGCAGAAGUGGAUAGCCGAAGAACUGCUUUCAAGCUACACAGUAGGAUAAAGAGGUAACCUGAUUCUUCUGCUUGAGUGGCUUCACGAAGCAGCGAACACUUUUCCUGUCCAUUGUUGAACCCCUCAUGCCUAACCCAGUGCCUAGAACACAGGCUCGUCAUAGAUGUGUGGAAUGAAUGGAUGAAAGAAAACAACGAAGAGCCAGUUGUCGGUGGAGGAUCCCAAAGGAGCAGUUCCGCCUUCAUGUUGAAGACUUUCUUUGCCCUGCAUGUUGUAACCACAUAAAGCUAGCUGGGAGCCACGUGGCUGCCCUCAUUGUUGCUCCUUGGCAAUGUUCUCUCUGUGCCAGGCAUCAAACAUGAGCCCCUCAGUGGGAUCCCUGCCCUGUGUGCGCCCCAAUACCUGGACACUUCCUGGAUGCUCCAAGAGGAUGGAGAUUUGCCCCUCCCGACUUUCCCAUGAUUAAUGUUUGUCCGUAGCCUUGUCACAACCAACCUUGGGAGUGUUGCUGGGUUCUGGUGGGGGUCCCUCCUGAGAGAGGCCUUUCUAUUCUGUGAGGUGAAUUGAAGGCUGUCAAACCUUUCGCUCAAACUGGUCUCAUCUGCAUCAAGUCGUACAGAAAUUCCUUGAAAUGUCUGGUAUGUGGGUGGAAUCCUUUUUCAGUUUUGAAGAAUGACAGAUUUUCCCCUAUCAUUAUUUUCCUUUGGCUGUGUCAAUGGGAGUUUGGAAGAGAGACAGGAUGGGAAGUUCAAUGUGAGGAUUUGAAUGCCUGUCACAGAAUAGAAGUCUGUCCUUGUACUUUUCCUAGUCUCUUUAGACAAAGUCCCCUCCACCUUAUAGCCCUAUGUAUGUAUAGCCCUAUGUAUGUAUGUAU